GCGGGAAUUCGAUUCCUACGGGAGGCAGCAGUGGGGAAUUUUCCGCAAUGGGCGAAAGCCUGACGGAGCAAUACCGCGUGAGGGAGGAAGGCUCUUGGGUCGUAAACCUCUUUUCUGUGGGAAGAAUAAAUGACGGUACCACAGGAAUCAGCAUCGGCUAACUCCGUGCCAGCAGCCGCGGUAAUACGGAGGAUGCAAGCGUUAUCCGGAAUCAUUGGGCGUAAAGCGUCCGUAGGUGGCUAUUCAAGUCUGCCGUCAAAGACUGGGGCUUAACCCCGGAAAGGCGGUGGAAACUGAAUAACUAGAGUGCGGUAGGGGUAGAGGGAAUUCCCAGUGUAGCGGUGAAAUGCGUAGAGAUUGGGAAGAACACCGGUGGCGAAAGCGCUCUACUGGGCCUGCACUGACACUGAGGGACGAAAGCUAGGGGAGCGAAAGGGAUUAGAUACCCCUGUAGUCCUAGCCGUAAACGAUGGAUACUAGGUGUUGGCAGUAUCGACCCUGCCAGUACCGGAGCUAACGCGUUAAGUAUCCCGCCUGGGGAGUACGCACGCAAGUGUGAAACUCAAAGGAAUUGACGGA
Molecule: ribosomal RNA, 579 nt
Filed under: uncultured bacterium
Lineage: Bacteria
Description: bacterial SSU rRNA
Rfam family: Bacterial small subunit ribosomal RNA
Source: RNAcentral